GCUGCUGGUGCAGGGGUUGCUGCAGGUGCUGGCGCUGCUUGUGGUGCAGCAACAUAUUGUACUGCCGCAGGUGCAACUGCUGGUGCUGCAC
RNAcentral lists this transfer RNA (91 nucleotides) under Glaesserella parasuis 29755. RNAcentral's name for it is "tRNA-Ala". Lineage: Bacteria; Pseudomonadati; Pseudomonadota; Gammaproteobacteria; Pasteurellales; Pasteurellaceae. The record is from RNAcentral.